RNAcentral lists this ribosomal RNA (542 nucleotides) under Amesomyces atrobrunneus. Its description in RNAcentral is "Amesia atrobrunnea partial 28S ribosormal RNA". It matches the Rfam family "Eukaryotic large subunit ribosomal RNA", at positions 81 to 650 of the family's 3401-position model. Lineage: Eukaryota; Fungi; Ascomycota; Sordariomycetes; Sordariales; Chaetomiaceae. The record is from RNAcentral.
UAGUAACGGCGAGUGAAGCGGCAACAGCUCAAAUUUGAAAUCUGGCUUCGGCCCGAGUUGUAAUUUGUAGAGGAAGCUUUAGGCGCGGCACCUUCUGAGUCCCCUGGAACGGGGCGCCAUAGAGGGUGAGAGCCCCGUAUAGUUGGAUGCCUAGCCUGUGUAAAGCUCCUUCGACGAGUCGAGUAGUUUGGGAAUGCUGCUCAAAAUGGGAGGUAAAUUUCUUCUAAAGCUAAAUACCGGCCAGAGACCGAUAGCGCACAAGUAGAGUGAUCGAAAGAUGAAAAGCACUUUGAAAAGAGGGUUAAAUAGCACGUGAAAUUGUUGAAAGGGAAGCGCUUGUGACCAGACUUGCGCCGGGCUGAUCAUCCGGUGUUCUCACCGGUGCACUCUGCCCGGCUCAGGCCAGCAUCGGUUCUCGCGGGGGGAUAAAGGCCCAGGGAAUGUAGCUCCUCCGGGAGUGUUAUAGCCCGGGGCGCAAUGCCCUCGCGGGGACCGAGGUUCGCGCUCUGCAAGGAUGCUGGCGUAAUGGUCAUCAGCGACCC